CAGAGGGCAGGGUGCUGGCUAACGGCCAGUCGAGGCGACUCGCAGGAAAGUGCCACAGAAAACAGACCGCCCGUUCCCGCGAGGGGGCGGGUAAGGGUGAAACGGUGCGGUAAGAGCGCACCGCGUCCGGGGUGACUCGGACGGCACGGUAAACCCCACCUGGAGCAAGAGCCAAUAGGAGCGCGUCCCCGAAAGGGGACAGGGAUGGCCCGUCCCAUGCGUUCGGGUUGCUCGCUGAUGAGGCCCCUGGGCAACCAGGGCCCUAGAUGAAUGUUCGCCGCCCAUCCCGAAAGGGGUGGGG
This 301-nucleotide unclassified non-coding RNA is filed under the name Corallococcus sp. 3. RNAcentral describes it as "partial RNAseP RNA". It matches the Rfam family "Bacterial RNase P class A", at positions 60 to 326 of the family's 367-position model. From Rfam's summary of the family: Ribonuclease P (RNase P) is a ubiquitous endoribonuclease, found in archaea, bacteria and eukarya as well as chloroplasts and mitochondria. Lineage: Bacteria; Pseudomonadati; Myxococcota; Myxococcia; Myxococcales; Myxococcaceae. The record is from RNAcentral.